Non-coding RNA from Phrynosoma platyrhinos (Desert horned lizard), 72 nucleotides. The record is from the annotation of a GenBank genome assembly. NCBI's taxonomy places the organism in Eukaryota, Metazoa, Chordata, Lepidosauria, Squamata, Phrynosomatidae.
GACAGCAUGGUAUAGUGUUUUGAGCUUUGGACUAGGACUCUGGAGACCAGGGUUUGAAUCCCUGCUUAGUCA